AGAAUGAGAAGAAAAAGGAGGAGCUGGCAGUGUGUGAAGGUACGACAGACAGAUAGGAGGGCUCUUCCUGAGUGUGGCUGUUUGCUCUCUGCUUCUCCACUCCCAAGCUAUGGACUAAACCUACGCUGAUCUCUCUGGAGGAACAUUUGAAGAUGAGCGACCAAGAGAGCAGCACAUCCACCUCUCAGACGGAGGGAGAGGUGGAGGGAGAGCUGGAUGAAGAGGUGGACACAGAGAUGGAGGGUGAAGGAGAAAACGAUUCAAAACACAGGGACAGUCCGCCUCUCCAAAUAUCCAGCUUCUCCUCCACUCUGCGUGCCGUCAUUCGGAUCAAACAGAAGUACCAUGCCCUGAAGAAGAGGCGUCAGGAGGUGGAGGGGGGCGGGGCCCUCACAGGGGCCACAGGGAGGACCAGCCCCAAAAUCUUCACCUUCGACGGAACAACCCCUAUCGCCUUGUCCGUCCCUCAGAAGAAGAAGAGGAAAAGGAGGAGACGGGUGAUGUAUCCCAACAGAGGGAAGCGCCGGGCCCCCCCCAAACCGGCACGCAGCCGAGCCAAAUACUGCCUCUACCUGCUCUUCGCCAUCGUCUUCGUCCAGGUGUACAACGCUAUAGAGAACCUCGACGACCACCUUCUCAGGUACGACCUGGAGGGGCUGGACAAGACGCUGAGGAGGGAGGUGUUCGGGCAACAGGGAGCGGUGGAGGGUCUGCUGUCCCACCUGAAGGAAUACCUGUCCACCUACGUCCACAACAAGCCCCUGGUGGUGUCCCUGCACGGCCCCAGCGGAGUGGGAAAAAGCCACCUGGGACGCCUCCUGGCGGGACAUUUCCGCUCAGUGGUGGGGGAGACACUGGUGCUUCAGUACUACGUCCUCCACCACUGCCCCCAGGAGGCAGACGCCCUGCAGUGCGCCCGAGACCUCUCCGCUCUAAUCUCGGAGAUUGUGGAACGAGCCGAGGAGGAGGAGAAGAUCCCGCUCUUCAUCUUCGACGAGGCCGAGCACAUGCACGGAGAGAUCCUGGAUGCGCUGCUGCAACUCGUGUCGUCAAAACAAUCCAAUGAGUAUCUGAACGCUAUUUACCUGUUCCUGAGCAACCUGGGGCACUCACACAUCACCAAACAUAUGCUGCACAACUCUUCCAGUACUUCUAUGGCGAAGUCCGAUCAUUAUAGUCACUUUGUAAAAGAGCUGACUCCGAUUUUACGCAACACUCUGGAGAAGCUUCACGUGCUGUGGACAGAGGCGGACAUCUUACCUUUGGGCCUUUUGGAGAAAGGUCAAGUGAUGGAGUGCUUCCUGGAUGAAAUGACUCGAGAGGGCUUCUACCCGGAUCAUACCAACAUAGAGCGCCUAGCGGGGGAGAUUGAAUACUACCCCGAGGUAGGGGGACAUGAGUACUCCCAGACAGGAUGCAAGCAAGUGGUGGCAAAGGUCAACCUGCUGUGAAAUGCUCUGCAGGAAGUCUUGGAUGUUUCACAUUCUUGAAAGCAUGAAGACAAUUCGCAUGAUAUGUGGGUGAGGCCUGGUGUGUUUUGGGGGUAAGGGUUAUGAAACUUGAAUCCACAGCUUUCGAGAAAAUAGCAGAGUGAGAAAAUCGCAAAGGGUGUUGAAGAUGGUCCCCUCUGUUGUGGGAAAUGUGGCGUGAAUCAUGUGAAGAGGUUUGAAAACGCCCGGUCACAUACAGUAAACAGUCCUCAGAGGGUCAGUUCACCGUGAGAAAAAGCUGGUUUUGACUGAAUGAACGUCAGCUCUCACAUGUAGUUCGGACAUUAAUAUACCCCUUAGAAUUAAUCUUUAUAACUUUUAUGCUCCCUUACUUUUCUUCUAAUGCCAUCAUCAGAUACAAAGUUUACACAUAAUUCUGUGGCCAAAUAUUUUUGCAAAUGUAUUGACGUUUCCAUCAGAGCAACUCCUACUUGGUGGUCUUACUUCCAAUAUUCAAAAUGAUCACCGCAAAUGAAGUUUCACUCAUUUCCAGUAUAAUAAAGUUAAGGCAGACAUCUAAGAGAAGCAUUUUCAAAAACCUGAAACAAACAUUUCCCUAGAGGUAAUUGAAAAUGACUUAUUUAUUAUGUGGGAACUGACCCUUUGCGUAUGUCACAACUACAUGUUAGGCAGCUCAGACCGACGUUGGACACAAGCAAUAUGCAUUCAUGUAAUAGUGAAGUUCAGAUAUUUAUAAUGCAGUUACUAACACACAUUGUCAAUAAGAAGUUGCUUUUUUGUCAGAAAUGUCUUACGUGAUGCAGCAUGACUUUUAUUAAUGCUAGUGCAAGUCUGUAGAUAGUCUUAUUUAGUCCACAUUGUAGAUUUACUUAUAAUGUGAAUUUAAGUAACUCAUUCUGGCUUAGACCUGCAGAAGAAGAAUAUCUCCUCUUUGUUUUAGAAUACCUGACACAUUUAUUUAUUCAAGAUAGUUUUGCAUGGGUAUGCUACAUGUUCACAUCUAGAGAUAUUGACAUAGGGUCAACUCAGACUUGCACUAGGAUUAUGUUUUAUUGACCUAAUGAAAGUGAUCGAGUCAAGAGUAUGUUAAUAUCCUGUAUUCAGGUAUCUUACAGUCGAAAUGUAAACUUAAUUGCGUUUAAAAUUAAAAAGACACCAUUUAAACAGC
This is an RNA transcript of Gymnodraco acuticeps, 2619 nucleotides long. It is a transcript of the gene named torsin family 4, member Aa, with no coding region annotated. Lineage: Eukaryota; Metazoa; Chordata; Actinopteri; Perciformes; Bathydraconidae. The transcript has 4 exons. The record is from RefSeq and is a predicted model, not a curated record.